AGUCAUACCACCUGCAGUUCAGACUAGGUAAUCCAUCUGAAGUUAUGCAGGUUUGGGCCUGGCCAGUACUUGAGUGGGAGACCAACUGGGCAAGUUAAUAAUAAUAAUUU
RNAcentral lists this ribosomal RNA (110 nucleotides) under Paramormyrops kingsleyae. Lineage: Eukaryota; Metazoa; Chordata; Actinopteri; Osteoglossiformes; Mormyridae. The record is from RNAcentral.